This 255-nucleotide ribosomal RNA is filed under the name Salmonella enterica subsp. enterica serovar Cerro. RNAcentral's name for it is "partial 23S ribosomal RNA". It matches the Rfam family "Bacterial large subunit ribosomal RNA", at positions 1864 to 2094 of the family's 2925-position model. The record is from RNAcentral. Lineage: Bacteria; Pseudomonadati; Pseudomonadota; Gammaproteobacteria; Enterobacterales; Enterobacteriaceae.
CAGGACCGGGAAGGGAGGCGGCGUUACCCGACCAUCCGCAUGUUCCACGCUGAAACCCAGCGCCAGCCGCCAGUGUUCCCAGGAGAUUUUAUCCGGGAUCAGGCUUCCGGUGGCGAAGUUCCCUUCAUCUUGUCGGGUAAGUUCCGACCUGCACGAAUGGCGUAAUGAUGGCCAGGCUGUCUCCACCCGAGACUCAGUGAAAUUGAACUCGCUGUGAAGAUGCAGUGUACCCGCGGCAAGACGGAAAGACCCCGU